This 308-nucleotide ribosomal RNA is filed under the name Palinurus elephas. Its description in RNAcentral is "partial 28S ribosomal RNA". The record is from RNAcentral. Lineage: Eukaryota; Metazoa; Arthropoda; Malacostraca; Decapoda; Palinuridae.
UAAUUUGCCGACUUCCCUUACCUACAUUAGUCUAUCGACCAGRGCUUCUUACCUUGGAGACCGGCUGCGGAUAUGGGUACGCACUGGCCCGAAAAUAGGCUUCGCGGACUUUGGGGAGUCCGCUCUACCUCAGUUACCGCCCUCGCGUGUUUCACGGGCCGGCGGUGGCGCUCGGGACGCCGCAAGAACCGCGGCGCUCUACGGCAGUCCGUGUUACAAACACCCUUUCUCUCUGCGAAUGGCUUCCAGGGUCACGGCGCCUUAAACAGAAAAGAAAACUCUUUCCCGGACCACCGCCGACGGACGCG